Molecule: long non-coding RNA, 2934 nt
Organism: Gallus gallus (chicken)
Lineage: Eukaryota; Metazoa; Chordata; Aves; Galliformes; Phasianidae
Source: Ensembl
GUUCAAGCAAAGAAAAGGAAGAUACAUAUAUUUUAACCUCCCAGAAUAAAUGCUUCCCCAAAAGGUCAUAUUGCUGCAAGUCAUGACAUUAUGAGCCUGAUCUCAUGAAGCUGAUACAGAAUGGCCCACAGACACAUUUGUUCCUCUCUUAAAUCAAGACUGAAUUUCCUUUGCAGACACAGCUCUAUGGAGUAGCCGUAGGGUGAGGCUCUGUGCUGUGUUACAUCCAAACCGAAACAAGAUGAUCACCACGGUCUCUUUCAGCAAAAAGUAGAACACAACAAGAAUUUGAAUGGAUGGCAGUCAGACACCUAUUUCAGUCUGAGUCUGCUCUCCUUAUGGCUCCUGCUGCCACCGUCUGCCUGCUUAGACAGACACUGUUCUUCCACUGGGCAAUACAGACAUUUAAGUUCCCUGAGGAGCAGCACUGCUGACUCUCACCUUCUGAUUAUACAUAUUGAGACUUUCCCACCUUCUCUACUGGGGACUGCAUUCAAAAACCACCUCCCAUGUGGAGCAGCUCUGAGAAUCAGAUGGAUGAAUAGUUUGCAAACACUCCCAGGAGGAGGUGUGCAAUAGAUGUAGAUGGAUCCAUUUCAGUCAAGAACUCAACACCUUUGACAGAUGGACUCCAAGACACCUGGAAUCAUAGAAUCAUAGAGCAGCCUGAGCUGGAAGGGACCCAUAGAGAUCAUCAGGUCCAAAUCCCAAGUAAGUCUCUGGGAAAAAAUGUUGUUGUCAAAUAAAUCUGUGCUGGUGUUCAGUUAAAUGAGCUUUGGUUGGUAUUGAAGAUUGCUGUAUCCAGACUAAGGAAAGGACAGGUCUUUGCACAGCCUUCCUGAUGGACCUGGCUUAAAGUGCCAGUGGGCUGGGAUACCUGCUGGAUUUGAGCUCAGCUUGCAUAAUAUGGACUGCAUGAUCUCCGAGGUUCCUUCUGAACUUUUCUAGUCUAUCCAUAUGGUACCAGAUGAGAGUCAUCAGCCCCUAAAUGAAAUCAGCAAUUGGUUUAUUAUUAGUGCUGUUAAUAUUAGUAUUUCACAGUAUGAGGAAGUGGUACUCAUUACUCGUUGCCAGGACUAGGGAAUCCCAUCCAAGUGCAGGUCCACUCCUGAAGGUGUAACUGCAGUUUGAAGUGUCUGGGCAGACAUGGCUGAAGCAGUUUGUAGGUUUGUAGAGAAAGUAACCACUGUUUUUAAUGUGUUUGCUUGCUUGUUUUUAAAUAUGUGCUUUACCCAUAACAAUAAAAUAGGAACCAUUUUGCUUUCUUUGCUUUCCUCCAACACAAGAACUUCCCUGAGCUGUGUUGGUGGAGCUGUUUUGAGGCUUGGAUGGGAUUAUUUCUCGGUCAGUUAAAAAUCUUCUCUCUUUUCUGCUGUUCUCUGCUUCCCUUGGAAGGCGCUCACUGCCAAAGGUGAUUUUGCAAGCACUUUUCAGGACUCCAGCCACAAUCUGGACUUUUAUGUCACGGGACAUUUCCGCCAACAUGCAUAAUUUCAGUCUCAGAUUCAGUGUCUUGGGUCCUACUUGUAACCUCUGCAAGAAAGCAUUGCUCAUGUGUUUCAUUUAUGCUCAGAGACCACAACCCAGUAGUUCAGUAUUUCUCUCAGCAGUGCUCUUAUUUUUCUGAAAUAAGCUUGCUCUAUUUCCUUUAUGCACCCCCAAGCUCUUAUUUUCACCUCUAGCAUCAAAUCAAGAGCUGGUGCUGAUCUGGUGGCUGACUUGCCACUCUGAUCUUAUCAACAUCACUGCUGCCCUCUUUUUGCUCACCAGGCUUGCACACUGGUUACAUGCUGACCUGUGUGAGCAUGUCACGUUUGCCAUCAUUUUACCUACAGUCCACACAGUCCAUUUUUAACUUCUGUCACUGUUUAUCACAUCCAAACUUUUUGUUGAAAGUAGUUAUAUAUUCAUCAAUAACAGAGGGAACAGUGAUUUUUGUGAAGAAGCCACCAUUUGGUGAUCAUCUCUUAGCAAAAACCCAGAGCUUGCAAGUAUUACAGUGUCCUCCAUUUGUCAAAUCUGCAGUCUCACCCAAGAGAUAACAGAUCUCUCCUAGGUAAACCAGUUGAGUUGACUUUGGGACCUGUGCUCUGCCAUGCUGGCCAGGAGCAGGGCUGGCCCCGCCUGCUCAGUCUGUCUGUAUCAGUUUGGUUAUUGAGGACGAAGAGCUGACAUCUUGUCACCUGCUACGUGGCUGUGGCUCAUCCUCUCUGCAUGAAGAAAUGCCUCUGGCUGCAGAGCCUCCUGACAUUCCUGGGUUAAAUGCAGUUAGAAGAAAUAAAUAUUUAUAGCUGCCGCCCGUCUGAACCAUGACUAACAGAGUCAGCGCAGCAAUUUGGCCACACUUCUUCCAGGAUUUUAUCACAAAUGUAAUGCAUGAAAUCCUACAGACCUAAAUAUUUCCUUCUCAUGCUCGGUAGCUCUGCUGGUCCUGCAUCUUUUGCAAGGUCUUCCUCUCACCUUCCUGAUUUCCUCUGGACAGACCACGUGCUGCUGUCUGCCCCCUGCCCCCAUUCUGCAGGAGCACACCAUGCGUGGUGUGUGGAUGGUGUCCUGAACGUGCUACUUUCCCACUCCUGUGAAGCUGAACUCCAGAAGCCAAGUGGCCCGAGCAGCCCAGAGGGCAAGGAGUGGAGUGGAGGAAGAGGGAAGAAGGGGAUCACGAAAGACAAAGAGGGAAGGGAAAGAAAAAGCAAGUAGCUAGUGAUCUGUGAAACCUUCAUUGCUAACUGCACGGCUUCUUACUGCCAAUCUCUGCCGUUUGCAGCAGCAAGGCAUUUAUUCACCAGACACGUUUUGUAUUUCCCCAGGUUGCAUUUUGCCUGCUAAGAGAAGAUGUCCAUGAUUUGGCACUGUGUAAUCCAAUUCAGAUUUAUUUGAUGUAAGGAUUUGUUAUUAAGGUUAGAAGAUUUCUUUUGCACAAUUAAAUGAGAA